Molecule: long non-coding RNA, 260 nt
Filed under: Ananas comosus (pineapple)
Lineage: Eukaryota; Viridiplantae; Streptophyta; Magnoliopsida; Poales; Bromeliaceae
Description: long non-coding RNA (ACOM_LNC019076)
Source: RNAcentral
UUUAUUUAUUUAUUUUUUUUACUUCUCUCUCCUCCUCUCGAGGCUUCAGCUAUUUCUCCCCUACAGUUUAAUUUAUUUUUUUUCUAAAUAAAAUGAAUAGUGUGCUACCUCUUCCUCAUCUCUCUCUCUCAAGACCUCGGCUACUUCAUUCCUGUAACCUAAUUUAUUUUCUUUUCUUUAUGAAUGAAAUGAGCAGAGUAGUGUGCUGCUAUCUCCUCCUAAAAAAAAUAAUAAAUUCGCAAAAUUAUCCAUUCUUAAAU